GAGACGAAACAAGUGAUGUGGAGUAAAACUUAUAAAAGCGACCUCAGUUCGGAUUGAAGGCUGAAAUUCGCCUUCAUGAAGUCGGAAUUGCUAGUAAUGGCAGGUCAGCAUACUGCCGUGAAUACGUUCCCGGGCCUUGUACACACCGCCCGUCACACCAUGAGAGUUGGAGAUACCCGAAGCCUAUGAGCUAACUUUUAGAGGCAGUAGUCGAAGGUAGAAUCAAUGAUUGGGGUGAAGUCGUAACAAGGUAUC
This 255-nucleotide ribosomal RNA is filed under the name uncultured bacterium. Its description in RNAcentral is "partial 16S ribosomal RNA". It matches the Rfam family "Bacterial small subunit ribosomal RNA", at positions 1246 to 1500 of the family's 1533-position model. The record is from RNAcentral.